GUCCAGACUCCUACGGGAGGCAGCAGUAGGGAAUCUUCGGCAAUGGACGAAAGUCUGACCGAGCAACGCCGCGUGAGUGAAGAAGGUUUUCGGAUCGUAAAACUCUGUUGGUAGAGAAGAACGUUGGUGAGAGUGGAAAGCUCAUCAAGUGACGGUAACUACCCAGAAAGGGACGGCUAACUACGUGCCAGCAGCCGCGGUAAUACGUAGGGAGCAAGCGUUAUCCGGAUUUAUUGGGUGUAAAGGGUGCGUAGACGGGAAAUUAAGUUAGUUGUGAAAUCCCUCGGCUCAACUGAGGAACUGCAACUAAAACUGGUUUUCUUGAGUGUUGGAGAGGAAAGCGGAAUUCCUAGUGUAGCGGUGAAAUGCGUAGAUAUUAGGAGGAACACCAGUGGCGAAGGCGGCUUUCUGGACAAUAACUGACGUUGAGGCACGAAAGUGUGGGGAGCAAACAGGAUUAGAUACCCCUGUAC
This 473-nucleotide ribosomal RNA is filed under the name uncultured bacterium. RNAcentral's name for it is "bacterial SSU rRNA". It matches the Rfam family "Bacterial small subunit ribosomal RNA", at positions 329 to 793 of the family's 1533-position model. The record is from RNAcentral.